This 253-nucleotide ribosomal RNA is filed under the name uncultured bacterium. Its description in RNAcentral is "partial 16S ribosomal RNA". It matches the Rfam family "Bacterial small subunit ribosomal RNA", at positions 524 to 776 of the family's 1533-position model. The record is from RNAcentral.
UACGGGGGGGGCAAGCGUUGUUCGGAAUUACUGGGCGUAAAGGGCUCGUAGGCGGCCAACUAAGUCAGACGUGAAAUCCCUCGGCUUAACCGGGGAACUGCGUCUGAUACUGGAUGGCUUGAGUUUGGGAGAGGGAUGCGGAAUUCCAGGUGUAGCGGUGAAAUGCGUAGAUAUCUGGAGGAACACCGGUGGCGAAGGCGGCAUCCUGGACCGAGAUUGACACUGAUGAGCGAAAGCCAGGGGAGCAAACGGG